UGCCCCCUUUGCAUGGAAUAUUCACCAACCAACCAAACCCGUGAUCAUCUUUUAAUAGGGACUCCAGACUUCCAAGGAGGCCUUCCCUGAUACCACAUAUCUGGGUAAUUAUAUGUGGACAUUUGCCAGGUGUUGGUGACUUGUUUAUGUGGCUGUCUUCCCUACACAUGAGCCCCUGGACCUUGUGUGAUUCAUCUCUGCUCCUCCACUCUAUCUCCACUGCCUACACAUAGCAGAUGAAUGUAACUGUUACUUUGAUUCAUCAUGUGGACAUUAUCACUGGAUAGGCCUGAAAUAGGAAGGCAUGCAAGACUCCAUGGACUAUUAGCAGUAUCUUUUUCUACAAGUCUGGACAGAACAUCAGAAAGUGUAGUUGCAGAAAGAGGCUGCUUUAGGGCCCUGAAAAUCUGGAAGGAUCUCCCAGCAUAGUGUCGAGAAGAACAAGAAAGUGCUGUUUGCAGAGCAACUUCACUAAGAUGAUGUUCCAAAUGUAUUCCUUCUGUGAAGACAAAGGAUGGAUACAAAUACGAUUAAGGCCCUCCUCAGGGAUAACUGUGUGAGCACAAAAGAAGAAAGUCUUUGGAGGCAUCAAAUUAUCUAACUAUCACACAAUACACACCUGUGUAUUCCAAAUCAAUGGAACGCCAGCAACGCAAAACAGGGUUCACCGUAGCUGACAAAUGAAAGAACGACUUAACGCAGCUAUGAGGCCGGAAUGGUGAGAGCUGAACCGUUACCUUGAGGUUAUACGGGACACAUGCGGGAAUCUUAGCGCCAGCUGAUGCAAAUCAGUGCUCCUUCCGUGGGAGCCUCGUCAGCACCAAAUUCCAGCAAGCGAGUUUGGGGGCCAACAUUGUUUUCCACAGCCUACUAUUAAAACUUAACUAUUUGGAUUUCCUGUGAGGUCUCUGCUGCCAUCUGCUGAGGAAAGUUGAAAGUGGCACUUUCCUAAUAUUUUGGCACGUUGCCUCAACAUGUGUUGAGUCCAGUGUUUCCACAAUGUGAACUGAUUUUUCUUACGGAAAGGAUUCUAUACUUUCCGCUUCAUUUUACUUGAAGAAAGAUCUCGAGAGCACGAGGAAUCUAACACAAGUUCAACAUCUUUUCCAUAACUGUGCUGAAUCAGCUAAGCACUUUUUCACUGAUCUUCAACUUACAUGUUGAGAACUUAACAUUUUUAAGACAAAGACCUUUAAAGGCAAUACAGACUCAAAUACUCCAAGCUUAAUUCUUUUCCUAGUUAAUAAAUAAUGUAUAUGGUACUUAAACUAAUAAAACUACAUUUAAAAAAAAAAGUAUUUCAACUUUUAUUUAGUUGACUUUCUCCAUUGCAGAUUUCAACUUAAUGAAGCACGAUUCCACUGUCAA
Molecule: long non-coding RNA, 1368 nt
Organism: Zalophus californianus (California sea lion)
Lineage: Eukaryota; Metazoa; Chordata; Mammalia; Carnivora; Otariidae
Exons: 6
Source: RefSeq, a predicted model, not a curated record